GGUAACACCCGAAGUCAGGAGCCUGACCUUUUUAGGAGGGCACUGCCGAAGGUGGGAUUGAUGACUGGGGUGAAGUCGUAACAAGGUAAC
This 90-nucleotide ribosomal RNA is filed under the name uncultured bacterium. RNAcentral describes it as "partial 16S ribosomal RNA". The record is from RNAcentral.